Molecule: long non-coding RNA, 429 nt
Organism: Corapipo altera (White-ruffed manakin)
Lineage: Eukaryota; Metazoa; Chordata; Aves; Passeriformes; Pipridae
Exons: 2
Source: RefSeq, a predicted model, not a curated record
UCCCUUGACUGACUUUCAGGCUGUGACUGCUGGAAGAGCACAUGAAAACGUCAGAAGCUGAGGAUGAUAUUGAGAGGAAACUCUUCAGGUCUUUCACCACACGUGCCUAAAGAUGAAAUGCAUUAAUGCAGCAGAUGUACCUCAUCCACAUUUGACUGAAAUUUUAUUCUUUCCAGCUCCGUCGAUACAAGAUUUGUCUUGCUGGGAUUUUAAGACUUAUAGUACCUUAAAUAUACAAGCUUUCAGUGCUACCAUGCAAGAUUGCUGUUUCAACAAAACUUACAUUUCCCAGUGCAUUUCUAUUGUUUAAGUGACAAACUGGGAAACAGAGAAAGAUUGGGAUCAUUACUGAUGAUCCCUGAAGGCAUGCAUCUCAGAUUGAAGUUGAAGUAAUUCCUCUCAUUAAAAAGCAUUUAAAAAUGUUGAAAA